ACCCUCCAGCUUCCUUACCACUCAGAUCUAAAUAUUGGUCCGAGUGGCUAAAAAAGGAGGAAGAGUAAAACUGAAGUGGACUUGGAGUCUUUAAUGACAUACAAAUUCAUCUCAAACAUUU
This 121-nucleotide small nucleolar RNA is filed under the name Echinops telfairi (small Madagascar hedgehog). Its description in RNAcentral is "Small nucleolar RNA SNORA61 (ENSETEG00000024241.1)". The record is from RNAcentral. Lineage: Eukaryota; Metazoa; Chordata; Mammalia; Afrosoricida; Tenrecidae.